CGUCUCUUUUUAAUCUUCCGUCCGGGCUUCGCUUGGGCUCGAUGUCACGCUUUGUUCUUCGUUUCUCUUCGAUCGGCAGAGACAAUAGUAACGGAAGGCGUUGUGGUUUCUGUAUCGAGAUCUUCAGUUGCGUUGGUCAGACGGCGUAUAAAUAGAACUUCUUUGGAGUCAUGUACCACAACAGAGAGGAGCAAGACCAGAAUAACUUCUUUGGAGUCAUGUACCCUGCGAUACUGUUUCUUGGUGCACCAACAACCCGAUAUUGUCAUUAAGCGUACUGUUUCUACCGUGAUCUUCGAUGUAGAUGUGGUGAAGUAUUCGGUGGCACAGGAUCAUUCUCCAGAGAAGUUCGGGGUGACGCAUCGGUUUGUUGUCGUACUCUUCGGGGACACACCAGAAAGGUUUGUGAGAAGUUUCAUCUUAUUGAGAGCUCUGCAAAGUAUAUCUUUUUAUUCCUCAAGUAUGCUUCUUUAGAGGAUUGUUGUUUUUCUGCAGGCUACAGGUAUAUAAUUUCUUUCUUCGAUGAUUUUCGUUUAUGUAUCUAAACCACACUGUUUCACCCAUAUUACUGCUAAGGAGUUUAAAGAUAAUUUCACUAGAAGAAAGUCAUCUAUAAAGUUGAUGAUCCAAAGCAAGCUUGCCAAAUUAUCAAAAGCGGUGGAUGGAGGAGAGGAAGAGGAGAAAAAAGAAGCAUUGGUAUGAACUUUUGUUGUUUUCUUUUGUCCAUGUCUACCGAUCUCAGAUUUCAUAACUGAUAGAGGCGCUAGAGAUGAUAUGCGCUAGGGAUGAGUUUUUUUCCUACAAAUAUAUAGGAGGCUUGGGAGCCAUCAAUUGAAAUGACUGCAGUUGGUCUGGCGUCCACAACCUCUCUGCUCCCGAAAUCUACCAAAGCAACUAACAAUGCACGCAUAGCCUUAAGUUGAAAAGAACGUGCUUAUAACCAGAGCAGCAUCUGAUAGAAUAAUGCUUAAUCCAAAAAAAAAAGAAUAAUGCUUAAUCAUAGUAUUUUAACUAUCUUCACCUGUUUUUUUCUAAAUUUCGACAAUCAUAUUUGAAUGUUUUCUUAACGCCAAACCGAAUCAUAUUUGAAUUACAUUA
This is a long non-coding RNA of Raphanus sativus (radish), 1098 nucleotides long. RefSeq lists it as uncharacterized. The record is from RefSeq and is a predicted model, not a curated record. Lineage: Eukaryota; Viridiplantae; Streptophyta; Magnoliopsida; Brassicales; Brassicaceae. The transcript is spliced from 4 exons.